RNAcentral lists this ribosomal RNA (433 nucleotides) under uncultured bacterium. RNAcentral's name for it is "partial 16S ribosomal RNA". It matches the Rfam family "Bacterial small subunit ribosomal RNA", at positions 29 to 507 of the family's 1533-position model. The record is from RNAcentral.
AACGAACGCUGGCGGCAUGCCUAACACAUGCAAGUCGAACGAGACCUUCGGGUCUAGUGGCGCACGGGUGCGUAACGCGUGGGAACCUGCCCUUAGGUUCGGAAUAACUCCCCGAAAGGGGUGCUAAUACCGGAUAAUGUCUUCGGACCAAAGAUUUAUCGCCUUUGGAUGGGCCCGCGUUGGAUUAGCUAGUUGGUAGGGUAAAAGCCUACCAAGGCGACGAUCCAUAGCUGGUCUGAGAGGAUGAUCAGCCACACUGGGACUGAGACACGGCCCAGACUCCUACGGGAGGCAGCAGUGGGGAAUAUUGGACAAUGGGUGAAAGCCUGAUCCAGCAAUGCCGCGUGAGUGAUGAAGGCCUUAGGGUUGUAAAGCUCUUUUACCCGGGAUGAUAAUGACAGUACCGGGAGAAUAAGCUCCGACUAACUCCGUG